GUUAUAUGGUCAAGUGAAGAAGCGCAUACGGUGGAUGCCUUGGCAGUCAGAGGCGAUGAAAGACGUGGUAGCCUGCGAAAAGCUUCGGGGAGUCGGCAAACAGACUUUGAUCCGGAGAUGUCUGAAUGGGGGAACCCAGCCAUCAUAAGAUGGUUA
RNAcentral lists this ribosomal RNA (156 nucleotides) under Mesorhizobium sp. RNAcentral's name for it is "partial 23S ribosomal RNA". It matches the Rfam family "Bacterial large subunit ribosomal RNA", at positions 1 to 150 of the family's 2925-position model. The record is from RNAcentral. Lineage: Bacteria; Pseudomonadati; Pseudomonadota; Alphaproteobacteria; Hyphomicrobiales; Phyllobacteriaceae.